MicroRNA precursor from Xenopus tropicalis (tropical clawed frog), 95 nucleotides. Ensembl annotates it as xtr-mir-181a-2. Its record names the gene xtr-mir-181a-2. Lineage: Eukaryota; Metazoa; Chordata; Amphibia; Anura; Pipidae. The record is from Ensembl.
UUGAGGGCUUCAGAGAACAUUCAACGCUGUCGGUGAGUUUGAGAAAGUGUAAAAAUAUAAACCAUCGGCCGUUGACUGUACCCUGAGGCUUUUCA